RNAcentral lists this transfer RNA (73 nucleotides) under Mesocricetus auratus (golden hamster). It matches the Rfam family "tRNA". Rfam says of the family: Transfer RNA (tRNA) molecules are approximately 80 nucleotides in length. Their secondary structure includes four short double-helical elements and three loops (D, anti-codon, and T loops). The record is from Rfam by way of RNAcentral. Lineage: Eukaryota; Metazoa; Chordata; Mammalia; Rodentia; Cricetidae.
GCCCAGAUACCUCAGUUGGUAGAGCAUGAGACUAAUAAUCUCAGGGUCGUGGGUUUGUGACCCACAUUGGGUG